RNAcentral lists this ribosomal RNA (2888 nucleotides) under Triticum aestivum (bread wheat). RNAcentral describes it as "partial small subunit ribosomal RNA". Lineage: Eukaryota; Viridiplantae; Streptophyta; Magnoliopsida; Poales; Poaceae. The record is from RNAcentral.
CGCGACCAAGCAGCGGCCACCGCGGGCCGCGGUAGUGUCUCGUCGCCCUCACAGAACACCGUCUCGCCGCCGCCGAAGCCCCUCCUUGCUCCCGUUCUCCGCGCGCCAGAUCGACACAUUCCUCGAUCUCAGCCACCGCCAGCGCCGGCUCCGCGGUGCCCAAUUCCUCAAACCCUAGAGCCAAAUCCCCCAUUUGGCCGCGCCUAACAGAGCCGGAUUUACUCGGCGCUGGCUGGUGCGAGCGGCGAAUCGAGUCCCCUCCCGUGCACUGCUCCACAUGUCGCACCGCGUGUACGCAUGAACUCGUCCAUGGACGAGAUCAACCUGCUACGGCAGCACCAGCGACACCAGCAGCACCACCUGUCGGUGCGCGGCAUCGGUGAGGAGAUCGACCUCGAGAUCGACCAGUGUGAAGAUCCCACUUUCUCGGGCGCCGCACUCGAGGGCGUGACCUCCCAUCACCCUCAAGACCCCGUCGUCCCUGCCGAUGACCACAAGAGCUUCCUCAUCCCGUGCUCGCAGCCUGGCGCAGUGGACGGCCAACCGCAGCCCACGCCACCGCAAGCAGAGGAACGGGCAGGGAUGCUGAGGCUGUCGGCGCAUACCAAGAAGAAGAAGAAGGUGGUCAAGAAAUGGCGGGAUGAGUGGGCGGACACAUACAAGUGGGCCUAUGUGGCCGUGCACGACAACACCAGCAGAAUCUUCUGCACCGUUUGCAAGGAGUAUGGCCGCAAGCAUCGCCGGAACCCCUAUGGGAACGAGGGGAGCAGGAACAUGCAGAUGAGUGCGCUAGAGGAGCACAACAAUAGCUUGCUGCAUAAGGAGGCGCUCCGACUGCAGUCAGCCUCCAAGGAGAAGGUGCAAACUCCUGAGAUAGAGAGGCCGGUUUGUGUCAAAGCUUUGUCGAAAACAGCAGCUUCAAUACUUGAAUCUCUCUUCAAGAAGGACCCUCAUGAAGCUGAAUUUAUACAGUCUAUACAGGAGGUGGUUCAUUCUAUAGAACCAGUUUUGGUGAAGAACUCACAAUAUGUUCAGAUAUUGGAGCGUUUAUUAGAACCUGAGAGAUGUUUUAUCUUCAGAGUGCCAUGGGUUGAUGACAGAGGUGAAGCUCAUGUCAAUCGAGGUUUCCGUGUGCAGUUCAGUCAGGCUUUAGGUCCAUGCAGAGGUGGUCUCCGUUUCCACCCGUCCAUGAACUUAAGUGUGGCAAAGUUUCUAGCUUUUGAGCAGACUCUGAAGAAUGCUCUGUCACUAUAUAAACUUGGAGGUGCUGCUGGAGGGAGCGAUUUUGAUCCAAAGGGUAAAAGUGAAAUUGAGGUAAUGCGCUUUUGUCAAAGUUUCAUGGAUGAGCUGUAUAGAUACUUGGGCCCUGAUCAGGAUUUUCCUGCUGAAGAUGUUGGUGUUGGUCCAAGGGAAAUGGGUUUCCUUUUUGGGCAGUACAGACGCCUUUCUGGUCAUUUUCAGGGAAAUUUUACAGGGCCUAAGAUCUUCUGGUCUGGUUCUAGUUUUAGAACAGAAGCUACUGGAUACGGACUGGUAUUUUUUGCACGUGUUGUACUUGCUGAUAUGAAUAAGGAGCUCAAAGGAUUAAGAUGUGCGAUAAGUGGUUCAGGAAAGAUAGCAAUGCAUGUCUUGGAAAAGCUUCUGUCGUGUGAAGCUAUUCCUGUUACAGUCUCAGAUUCAGAAGGCUAUCUAUUUGAUGGAGACGGGUUUGAUUAUGUGAAAUAUACACUUAUAAGGAAUAUUAAGGCACAACAAAGGAGCCUCAAGGAAUACUUGAAAACAUUUCCACGUGCCAAAUAUAUCAAUGAUGCUAAGCCAUGGGGUGAGCAGUGUGAUAUUGCAUUCCCUUGUGCAUCACAAAAUGAGAUUGACCAGGGGGAGGCUCUUUCAAUAAUUAGCUCUGGUUGCCGUGUUCUUAUAGAAUGUUCAAACAUGCCAUGCACUGGUCAAGCAGUUGAUAUCCUAAGAAAGGCAAAAGUCCAUGUUGCUCCAGCAAAGGCAACUGCUGCUGGUGGGGUAGCAGUCGGUGAACUUGAACUGAAUCCAGAGUUCAGCUUAAUGCAGUGGUCAGUAGAGGAUUUCGAGAACAAAAUACAGGUAUAAGCCGCUGCUUCUGCCCGUUGGUGGCUACCCUUCCAUUUUUCGAUAAAGGGCGUAUUUAUUAACUCAAAAUGUAGCAUCAAGCGGAUAGAAAGCAUGAUGAGAAACACACGGCCUCUGCAUAACUAAGAUCCACACAGCCAAAUACUAACAAAUUGACCCCAAAAAACAACAUAUCGGCAACGUAGUCAUAUAAGAUCGACACUAUGCCUAUGUCGAAGGAGGUGGCUACCCUUCCAUAUGUGGUAAAUUUUUUUUUUGCGACUUUCCAUAUGUGGUAAUAUGAAGCCCUACUAAGUUUCUUCUUUUGGUUAAAACAGGAAGCAGUAAAGCAAACAUAUGACAGGUCGAUGAAAGCUGCUCAAGAAUAUGGAAUCCUGAAAGAGAACCCAGAGUCUUUGGUGCAUGGUGCAAACAUAUCGGCCUUCCUGAACAUUGCACAAGCCAUGACUGAUCAAGGAUGUGUGUAGUUAAGCGUUUUUGUUCUGUCAAGAAGCAGAAUUUGACAUCCCUGCAGGCUGCAGCCAUGAUCUCUGGUUGUACUGUGGUUGCUGCAGCCAUUUGACGCUUAUUCGUAGCCUCCCUCACAGAUCACUGUUUUACGUUUAUUGGUAGCCUCCCUCACAGAUCAAUUUUAUGUUUAGGCCUUGUCAAAGCUUUCCUCUGGUAUGAAGGAAAAGCUUAGAUCUAUUUAGAGUAUAGAAGUGUUUCCUGUUGUAGAUCCCCCAUGUAUUUAUUCAUUACUGCCAACAUCAAUGCUUGAAGAAGGAAAUGUUCCUUUUUUGUGU